This 253-nucleotide ribosomal RNA is filed under the name uncultured bacterium. Its description in RNAcentral is "partial 16S ribosomal RNA". It matches the Rfam family "Bacterial small subunit ribosomal RNA", at positions 524 to 776 of the family's 1533-position model. The record is from RNAcentral.
UACGUAGGGUGCAAGCGUUGUCCGGAAUUAUUGGGCGUAAAGAGCUCGUAGGCGGUUUGUUGCGUCGGCUGUGAAAUCCCGAGGCUCAACCUCGGGUCUGCAGUCGAUACGAGCAAACUAGAGUGUUGCAGGGGAGACUGGAAUUCCUGGUGUAGCGGUGAAAUGCGCAGAUAUCAGGAGGAACACCGGUGGCGAAGGCGGGUCUCUGGGCAACAACUGACGCUGGAGGAGCGAAAGCGUGGGAGCGAACAGG